RNAcentral lists this ribosomal RNA (501 nucleotides) under uncultured bacterium. RNAcentral describes it as "partial 16S ribosomal RNA". It matches the Rfam family "Bacterial small subunit ribosomal RNA", at positions 28 to 506 of the family's 1533-position model. The record is from RNAcentral.
GACGAACGCUGGCGGCGUGCUUAACACAUGCAAGUCGAGCGGUGAAGGGGCCUGCUUUUGUGGGCCCUGGAUGAGUGGCGAACGGGUGAGUAACACGUGAGUAACCUGCCCCCUUCUUCUGGAUAACCGCAUGAAAGUGUGGCUAAUACGGGAUAUUCUGGGUCUGUCGCAUGAUGGGUCUGGGAAAGAUUGCGCCUUUGGGUGUUUUUGGUGGGGGAUGGGCUCGCGGCCUAUCAGCUUGUUGGUGGGGUGAUGGCCUACCAAGGCGGUGACGGGUAGCCGGCCUGAGAGGGUGGACGGUCACACUGGGACUGAGACACGGCCCAGACUCCUACGGGAGGCAGCAGUGGGGAAUAUUGCACAAUGGGCGCAAGCCUGAUGCAGCGACGCCGCGUGAGGGAUGGAGGCCUUCGGGUUGUAAACCUCUUUCGCCAGUGAAGCAGGCCUGCUCCUUGUGGGUGGGUUGACGGUAGCUGGAUAAGAAGCGCCGGCUAACUACGU